AGAGUUUGAUCAUGGCUCAGAUUGAACGCUGGCGGCAGGCCUAACACAUGCAAGUCGAGCGGUAGCACAGAGAGCUUGCUCUCGGGUGACGAGCGGCGGACGGGUGAGUAAUGUCUGGGAAACUGCCUGAUGGAGGGGGAUAACUACUGGAAACGGUAGCUAAUACCGCAUAACGUCGCAAGACCAAAGUGGGGGACCUUCGGGCCUCAUGCCAUCAGAUGUGCCCAGAUGGGAUUAGCUAGUAGGUGGGGUAAUGGCUCACCUAGGCGACGAUCCCUAGCUGGUCUGAGAGGAUGACCAGCCACACUGGAACUGAGACACGGUCCAGACUCCUACGGGAGGCAGCAGUGGGGAAUAUUGCACAAUGGGCGCAAGCCUGAUGCAGCCAUGCCGCGUGUGUGAAGAAGGCCUUCGGGUUGUAAAGCACUUUCAGCGGGGAGGAAGGCGAUAAGGUUAAUAACCUUGUCGAUUGACGUUACCCGCAGAAGAAGCACCGGCUAACUCCGUGCCAGCAGCCGCGGUAAUACGGAGGGUGCAAGCGUUAAUCGGAAUUACUGGGCGUAAAGCGCACGCAGGCGGUCUGUCAAGUCGGAUGUGAAAUCCCCGGGCUUAACCUGGGAACUGCAUUCGAAACUGGCAGGCUAGAGUCUUGUAGAGGGGGGUAGAAUUCCAGGUGUAGCGGUGAAAUGCGUAGAGAUCUGGAGGAAUACCGGUGGCGAAGGCGGCCCCCUGGACAAAGACUGACGCUCAGGUGCGAAAGCGUGGGGAGCAAACAGGAUUAGAUACCCUGGUAGUCCACGCCGUAAACGAUGUCGAUUUGGAGGUUGUGCCCUUGAGGCGUGGCUUCCGGAGCUAACGCGUUAAAUCGACCGCCUGGGGAGUACGGCCGCAAGGUUAAAACUCAAAUGAAUUGACGGGGGCCCGCACAAGCGGUGGAGCAUGUGGUUUAAUUCGAUGCAACGCGAAGAACCUUACCUGGUCUUGACAUCCACAGAACUUUCCAGAGAUGGAUUGGUGCCUUCGGGAACUGUGAGACAGGUGCUGCAUGGCUGUCGUCAGCUCGUGUUGUGAAAUGUUGGGUUAAGUCCCGCAACGAGCGCAACCCUUAUCCUUUGUUGCCAGCGGUCCGGCCGGGAACUCAAAGGAGACUGCCAGUGAUAAACUGGAGGAAGGUGGGGAUGACGUCAAGUCAUCAUGGCCCUUACGACCAGGGCUACACACGUGCUACAAUGGCAUAUACAAAGAGAAGCGACCUCGCGAGAGCAAGCGGACCUCAUAAAGUAUGUCGUAGUCCGGAUUGGAGUCUGCAACUCGACUCCAUGAAGUCGGAAUCGCUAGUAAUCGUAGAUCAGAAUGCUACGGUGAAUACGUUCCCGGGCCUUGUACACACCGCCCGUCACACCAUGGGAGUGGGUUGCAAAAGAAGUAGGUAGCUUAACCUUCGGGAGGGCGCUUACCACUUUGUGAUUCAUGACUGGGGUGAAGUCGUAACAAGGUAACCGUAGGGGAACCUGCGGUUG
RNAcentral lists this ribosomal RNA (1520 nucleotides) under Klebsiella pneumoniae. RNAcentral's name for it is "bacterial SSU rRNA". It matches the Rfam family "Bacterial small subunit ribosomal RNA". The record is from RNAcentral. Lineage: Bacteria; Pseudomonadati; Pseudomonadota; Gammaproteobacteria; Enterobacterales; Enterobacteriaceae.